AUUGAACGCUGGCGGCAGGCCUAACACAUGCAAGUCGAGCGAGCAGCGGACGGGUGAGUACUGUAUGGGGACAGCCCGAAAGAGGGGGGUAACGACUGGAAAAGGUAGCUAAGACCGCAUACUAUCGGAUAACCGAUAUGGGAUUAGAUAGUAGGUGAGGUAAUGGCUCACCUAGGCGACGAUCCCUAGCUGGUCUGAGAGGAUGAUCAGCCACCCUGGGACUGAGACACGGCCCAGACUCCUACGGAGGCAGCAGUGGGGAAUAUUGCACAAUGGGCGCAAGCCUGCUGCAGCCAUGCCGCGUGUAUGAAGAAGGCCCUAGGGUUGUAAAGUACUUUCAGUCGGGAGGCGUUACCGACAGAAGAAGCACCGGCUAACUCCGUGCCAGCAGCCGCGGUAAUUC
This 403-nucleotide ribosomal RNA is filed under the name uncultured bacterium. RNAcentral describes it as "partial 16S ribosomal RNA". It matches the Rfam family "Bacterial small subunit ribosomal RNA", at positions 30 to 526 of the family's 1533-position model. The record is from RNAcentral.